RNAcentral lists this transfer RNA (88 nucleotides) under Aspergillus melleus. RNAcentral describes it as "tRNA-Asp". It matches the Rfam family "tRNA". From Rfam's summary of the family: Transfer RNA (tRNA) molecules are approximately 80 nucleotides in length. Their secondary structure includes four short double-helical elements and three loops (D, anti-codon, and T loops). Lineage: Eukaryota; Fungi; Ascomycota; Eurotiomycetes; Eurotiales; Aspergillaceae. The record is from RNAcentral.
UCCUCGAUGGUCUAACGGUCAUGAUUUCCGCUUGUCACUCAGCAGAGAACGAGCGCGGGAGACCUGGGUUCGACUCCCAGUCGGGGAG